Molecule: transfer-messenger RNA, 361 nt
Filed under: Gammaproteobacteria bacterium
Lineage: Bacteria; Pseudomonadati; Pseudomonadota; Gammaproteobacteria
Rfam family: transfer-messenger RNA
About the family: Bacterial tmRNA, also known as 10Sa RNA or SsrA, is named for its dual tRNA and mRNA-like properties. Its role is to liberate the mRNA from a stalled ribosome. To accomplish this part of the tmRNA is used as a reading frame that ends in a translation stop signal.
Source: RNAcentral
GGGGGCGAUUCGGAUUCGACGCCGGUAUCAAUACCUGGGGUGCAUGCCGAGAGGGUAGUAACUCUCGUAAAUCAAUUACUGCAACUUUAUAGUUGCCAACGACGAUCGAUACGCUCUGGCGGCCUAAAUAGCCCGCUAGCGAUUGCCUCAGGGAUGCCUGUAAACCGGAGUUUUGCAAUCGUCAUAUAGAACAGGAUCGCGUGAUGGUCGUCUGGGGCCGGAACGUUAAACAUUUUCCAGGCUCGCCCUAAUCGCCCUGCCCGUCGGGUAGAAUUGGGCUAACUCAAUAGACGACGCUAAGCAUGUAGAUCUUCAGGCUGCGAACUGACGGACGGGAGUUCAAUUCUCCCCGCCUCCACCA